AGACGAAGAGGAGGAGGAGGACAGAGUUGCCAUGGUGACCAUCAAAAGCGACUCGAUCAGAAACGACUACUAAGGGGUGGGUAUAGCAGCCCCUUUAUCGCGCGCGACUUUGUUGUACACGCGGGCCGGUCGCGAACCGGAAAAUACGCCCGUCUGACCACUCUCGGGCUUUCUCUACUGGUCCGCCUUUGCGGAUGAGCUGUGAAGCACUCUUUUCGAGGAGAGAAAAAGGGAGCACGGAUGAGCCAGGGAUUCGGCUUCCUUUGAGAGCCGGAUUUCAUAGGCAAAGAGUAGCGCUGUUUUUGAUUAUGGCGAAUGAAGUGAUAUACGCGGCUUUCCGAUGGAUUGGCGCGCGGUUGACAAUCUUUUAUUGUCUUAAAAUUCAUUAAAAAAUGCUGGAAUCAACUAUUAAUGGAUGCUAAUUGUACAAGUGAACGAGGAUACAUGUAAUUAUCAAUGGAUUUGCAAAUGCGAGCGACUGCGAGAAGUGAAGAUAGAAAUACACACAACAAAUGCAAUGGCCUUGCGAAAAAAAGAAGAUGAAAAAAUCGCGAAACGAGAGCGAAGCGCAUUCGUUAAUAAAGUGCUGAAGUGAAUCGCCAACGAGAAAUCCAAUUACAACUUUUGGUCAUGUUUGCUCAAAGUCGAAGAACAAGUUUGCCAACUUUGAGGUGCUAAAACUUGGUACUUUCGUGACUUUCGGUCCUACGCUCUGGCUCGCGUCUGUCUCUUAAUUCACCUUUCUUGCGCGGCAACGUUUAAGGAUUCCAUCAUAUUCAGCCAUUCGAUUCUACAAUGACAACAAUGACACAAAACAAGUUUAUAUAAAAAUCGGUCUUUAUGCGUACAGUGAAAAGGUUUUAUGCAAGAGCACAACAAGAAACUAAACAAGCUCGACGUAGAGAUCACGAUGAGUAUUGGCAAUAUAACUCUCGGUCGUGACGUCAUCAAGAUGGACGCCUAGGCCAUGAAAAAUAGAUUAGUAGUAUACAAAGCAAAGUAGUUUUUACUAAUUUUUGACAGAAAAAUAACGUGACAGCUCUUAAAUUUUAUAUAUGUGAUAACGCAUAUAAUUUACUAUAAGAUGAUGGUACUUUUCCCUCCCUGAAAUUGUUAAUAUGUUUUAUUUAGGAUGAUCAAAGCAUUGUAUAGGUUAUAGAGCAACAUGGAAUGUAAUAACCAAAAAGAGGCAGGCAUGCAAUUUUCAC
Nasonia vitripennis (jewel wasp) is the source of this 1208-nucleotide long non-coding RNA. RefSeq lists it as uncharacterized. The record is from RefSeq and is a predicted model, not a curated record. NCBI's taxonomy places the organism in Eukaryota, Metazoa, Arthropoda, Insecta, Hymenoptera, Pteromalidae. The transcript has 2 exons.